AGUUUGAUCAUUGCUCAGUUUGAACGCUGGCGACGGGCCUAACACACACAAGUCGAGCGGUAGGCCAGAGAGCUUUGCUCUCGGGUGACGAGCGGCGGACGGGUGAGUAAUGUCUGGGAAACUGCCUGAUGGAGGGGGAUAACUACGGAAACGGUAGCUAAUACCGCAUAACGUCGCAAGACCAAAGCAGGGGACCUUCGGGCCUCAUGCCAUCAGAUGUGCCCAGAUGGGAUUAGCUAGUAGGUGGGGUAACGGCUCACCUAGGCGACGAUCCCUAGCUGGUCUGAGAGGAUGACCAGCCACACUGGAACUGAGACACGGUCCAGACUCCUACGGGAGGCAGCAGUGGGGAAUAUUGCACAAUGGGCGCAAGCCUGAUGCAGCCAUGCCGCGUGUGUGAAGAAGGCCUUCGGGUUGUAAAGCACUUUCAGCGGGGAGGAAGGCGAUAAGGUUAAUAACCUUGUCGAUUGACGUUACCCGCAGAAGAAGCACCGGCUAACUCCGUGCCAGCAGCCGCGGUAAUACGGAGGGUGCAAGCGUUAAUCGGAAUUACUGGGCGUAAAGCGCACGCAGGCGGUCUGUCAAGUCGGAUGUGAAAUCCCCGGGCUCAACCUGGGAACUGCAUUCGAAACUGGCAGGCUAGAGUCUGGUAGAGGGGGGUGGAAUUCCAGGUGUAGCGGUGAAAUGCGUAGAGAUCUGGAGGAA
RNAcentral lists this ribosomal RNA (705 nucleotides) under Klebsiella pneumoniae. Its description in RNAcentral is "bacterial SSU rRNA". It matches the Rfam family "Bacterial small subunit ribosomal RNA", at positions 10 to 706 of the family's 1533-position model. Lineage: Bacteria; Pseudomonadati; Pseudomonadota; Gammaproteobacteria; Enterobacterales; Enterobacteriaceae. The record is from RNAcentral.